GUGGAAAAUGUUUGGGUCAUUACGGGGCAACUUUGUUACAUUUUGACCGAAGAGAUUUGACCUUUUUGUAAGGGGCAUAACCCCUGUUUUAGGUUUCUGAAAAGACAAAAUCACCUUUUACUAUAUAACCAAAGGUCCUAGACCCAUGGGGUCUUCAGCAAUGACAUUGGGGACCAAUGACCUUGACAAAGGUCAAAAGGUCAAAGGUCAAGGUCAUGUACCAGAUAGCGAAUUUAGUGAUUUUAACCUUAUUUAAGGUUUUCAAUGUGUUUUAAAGAUUUUCAGUGUGUUUUAAAGCUGUUUAAGGUUGACCUUGACCUUUGACCUUAAAACUUUUAAGUCGAUAUCUCAAAAACGAUUGUACUUACAGAAAUAGUAAAUAGUGAAAAACGCGUUGAGGUGGAUGAGGCGCAACUUUUUGACAUUUGACCGAAGAGAUUUGACCUUUCUAUAAGGGGCAUAACCCUUGUUUUAGAUUUCUGAAAAGGCAAAAUCAGCUUUUACUGUAUAACCAAAGGUCCU
RNAcentral lists this long non-coding RNA (522 nucleotides) under Mytilus galloprovincialis (Mediterranean mussel). Lineage: Eukaryota; Metazoa; Mollusca; Bivalvia; Mytilida; Mytilidae. The record is from RNAcentral.